GGAGAGGUGCCGGAGCCAGGUCGAACGGGCCUCCCUGCUAAGGAGGUGUGGGGGCAACCUCACCGUGGGUUCGAAUCCCACCCUCUCCG
Molecule: transfer RNA, 89 nt
Filed under: Microthrixaceae bacterium
Lineage: Bacteria; Bacillati; Actinomycetota; Acidimicrobiia; Acidimicrobiales; Microthrixaceae
Also listed under: 1 other name
Description: tRNA-Ser
Rfam family: tRNA
About the family: Transfer RNA (tRNA) molecules are approximately 80 nucleotides in length.
Source: RNAcentral